AAGAGUGAAUCCAGUCUCGCUGCUCCGCCAUCGAAGCCGUCUGUAUCUUUUUGUUUUGUUUUGGUCGGAGUUUAUUUGCUCUAGAGAGACCAGUCACCUGGUAUGGAACAUCUACUAAUUUCAGAGAAUUUUGCAUGUUCGUCUCGGUGUGUCGUUACACAAUUUGCGGAUGCUGCAACGACACUGAAGCCUGCGUAGAGGUGACGGGCGGCGAAGAAGCUAGCCAAGCUGUGAAAACGGACAUAGACAUAUGGGGUUUGUGCUAGAGGAUGCUAAAGGUCUAUCACUUAAUGGGGACCUCAAUGUGCAUCCAGUGAUUGCAAGGUCUUUUCCCCUACACAUCCAAUCUUUUUGUUUAUGAACUAUACUCAUCAAGUCUUGGUGGUGUUCCUAAUGCAAAUGGGGAUUCAAUGACAACACGAGUAGCUGUUGAUCACCAUAUGCAUCAAGAUUUUUCAACCAACAAGUAAAAGUUCAGACAUGUCUUUCAGUCACAUUAUUGCUCUGGAUGUCAAGGAGCACCCUGUCGUCAUCUAUAUGAAGGGUUAUCCUGAUGCUCCUAGGUGUGGGUUCAUUGCAUUAGGAGUGAAGGUCGUCCAGCAAUAUGGUAAUUUGUCUAUAAGUGCGGCUUAUUUCAAAUGCAAGUUACGGUGGUAUCGUCUUCAAGCACACCUCUUCAAGCAGCAAUUGCCGAUGUUCAAAAGGUAUCGUAGUUUAACACACAAGUUACUGUGGUUUGUCAAAAAAAGAACAAUAGCACAUCUUGCUGUUAUCAUACCACUUUAAUUUGUUGAAAGGAAAAGGUUCCAAAUAGAAGGCGAAUGUUGAGUUGUAACUCAUUUGUAUUU
Molecule: long non-coding RNA, 848 nt
Organism: Zea mays
Lineage: Eukaryota; Viridiplantae; Streptophyta; Magnoliopsida; Poales; Poaceae
Exons: 4
Source: RefSeq, a predicted model, not a curated record